RNAcentral lists this ribosomal RNA (263 nucleotides) under Escherichia coli. RNAcentral describes it as "partial 16S ribosomal RNA". It matches the Rfam family "Bacterial small subunit ribosomal RNA", at positions 1 to 260 of the family's 1533-position model. The record is from RNAcentral. Lineage: Bacteria; Pseudomonadati; Pseudomonadota; Gammaproteobacteria; Enterobacterales; Enterobacteriaceae.
AAAUUGAAGAGUUUGAUCAUGGCUCAGAUUGAACGCUGGCGGCAGGCCUAACACAUGCAAGUCGAACGGUAACAGGAAGAAGCUUGCUUCUUUGCUGACGAGUGGCGGACGGGUGAGUAAUGUCUGGGAAACUGCCUGAUGGAGGGGGAUAACUACUGGAAACGGUAGCUAAUACCGCAUAAUGUCGCAAGACCAAAGAGGGGGACCUUCGGGCCUCUUGCCAUCGGAUGUGCCCAGAUGGGAUUAGCUUGUUGGUGGGGUAA